UUGUAAUGAGGACUUAUUUGAUUGUGGAUAUUGUCUAGAAGACAAUAUUUGUAUUUAAACUUACAGUUUAUGUUGUUGUAUUUUGCACGACAAUUGUAUUAUUGAAGUUGUAGUUUUCUUUCUGUACCAUGUAUUUGGCGACUCAGAAUGGGUGUUGUAUACCUAUUUUGGGGGCGUCACAUAAAUCAUCAAAGAUGAAGAACGUUUUGAGUAAGACAUCUCCGUAUGUCAUGAAGCCGUAAACUGGUAAUGAAAGUUAGUCGCGUAAAAUUAUAUUGCAAGAACACGAACCUUAAGAAGUAAAGUUAAGUAAAUCAAUGCG
RNAcentral lists this long non-coding RNA (322 nucleotides) under Panax ginseng (ginseng). RNAcentral's name for it is "long non-coding RNA (PGIN_LNC012467)". Lineage: Eukaryota; Viridiplantae; Streptophyta; Magnoliopsida; Apiales; Araliaceae. The record is from RNAcentral.